CCCUCCCUUGUAAAAUUUUAAUUUUAUGACUUGUCACAUUUUUAAAAUCCAACGCUCAACUAAGCUAUUAUGUUUUUUUGGUGCUACCCAUUUAUUUUUUUUGAAACAUGUUUUUCUUAGUGUUUAUUCAUAGUCAUCAUUGAAGUACAACUUGGUAAACUACAAAACACAUCAAAUUCAGUUAUAAAAAUUUGAGUAACAAAGGUAUACUAAUUAUUGUAUUGCCUGAAAGAGUGUCAUUGCUAUUAAAAGCAGUGAAGAAUUCAAGUACUCUGGAAGAAAAGAAAAUACGUAAGUAAAUGGUCAAUUAUUUGGCACAAAUCGGAGUUAAAGACAAAGGAGAUUGUAUAUUUUAUUUGCUAAGAAUAGUUUUU
Non-coding RNA from Hydra vulgaris (swiftwater hydra), 374 nucleotides. NCBI's taxonomy places the organism in Eukaryota, Metazoa, Cnidaria, Hydrozoa, Anthoathecata, Hydridae. The record is from RefSeq and is a predicted model, not a curated record.